This 440-nucleotide ribosomal RNA is filed under the name uncultured bacterium. RNAcentral's name for it is "partial 16S ribosomal RNA". It matches the Rfam family "Bacterial small subunit ribosomal RNA", at positions 338 to 795 of the family's 1533-position model. The record is from RNAcentral.
CCUACGGGUGGCAGCAGUAGGGAAUAUUGCACAAUGGGGGAAACCCUGAAGCAGCAACGCCGCGUGGAGGAUGAAGGUUUUCGGAUUGUAAACCCCUUUUGUUAGAGAAGAUAAUGACGGUACCUAACGAAUAAGCACCGGCUAACUCCGUGCCAGCAGCCGCGGUAAUACGGAGGGUGCAAGCGUUACUCGGAUUCACUGGGCGUAAAGAGCGCGUAGGCGGGAUAGCAAGUCAGAUGUGAAAUCCGAGGGCGUAACCAUAGUACUGCAUUUGAAACUGUUAGUCUAGAGUAUGGGAGGGGGAGGUGGAAUUCUUGGUGUAGUGGUGAAAUGCGUAGAGAUCAAGAGGAAUACUCAUUGCGAAGGCGACCGGCUAGAACAUAACUGACGCUGAGGCGCGAAAGCGUGGGGAGCAAACAGGAUUAGAUACCCGAGUAGUC